AUGCCACAGACUGGAGGAAACAUGGAGAAGUUACGGCUGGAAGUUUGUCCAUCAGGGGCUCCUGAUCUAAUGCACCUGAGAAGCUUUGGGGAUGGUGAGGCUUCACCUCAGCACUUUUAUUUCCAAGGAUGGGACUCGCUACCUACCACCCUCCUCCAUCUGACUAGUCCCUAUAGGAGUACCUCUUGGAAACCCCUUCCCCAACCCCAAAUUGCAAACUGAACAAUACAUAUUGCCUUGCCUCACACAGGAAAUGUGCAUCUCUGGAAUUAUCUUCUGGGUGUUUUCUUAAACUAAAUAUUAUCAGCACUUUGUGGAGCCCCCUCCCUUACUAAAGGCCUUCCUCAGACUCUUGGAAGAGAAGCCAUUCCUAUCAUUCUCGCUAUUCCCACUUGUGACUGGUAGAAUAAUCAUCCCCCACGAUGUCCACAUCUGUAAUCCCAGAAGCUCAAGCCCUGAUGUGUAUGGGGUCUGAAACAAAAAGGAUAUGAAGUCUGUGGUUUAAACUGCCGUAGCUUUCAGCCUCAAAAUCACAGGUCAUUAAUUCAUUCAUUUAUAAAAGACAUAUUAAAUGCCUAUGAUGACCCAGGGCUGAUAUGAGGCCCUGGGUAGUAUCUCCAAUUGAGAACCAUCUAGGAUAGGGGUGUCCAAUCUUUUGCUUCCCUGGGCCACAUUGGAAGAAGAAAAAUUGCCUUGGGCCACAUAUAAAAUACACUAACAAUAGCUGAUGAGCUAAAAAAAAAAAAUGCAAAAAACCUCAUAGUGUUCUAAGAAAGUUUCCAAAUUUGUGUUGGGCCGCAUUCAAAGCCAUCCUGGGCCGAAUGUGGCUGGUGGGCUGUGGGUUGGACAAGCUUGAUCUAAGAUGAUGCAGGAAUCAACUAGAAUUUGGAGGAGAAGAGUGUCUGGUCUUGAGGACUAGAGACUGGCAGGAUCAGUCAGCUGGGCUGAGGUUCAAGGCCGGGCUCCAACCUCAAAAGGCCACUUGGACCUUUUUCAAGGUGGAUUGAAGAUGAGGCUGCCUACAGAAAGGUUAAGAAAGGUUCAGAGAAGUGUGCAAUUUCCUCCCCUUCUCCAUCUGCUGCCCCCUGCCCACUGUACCUGCAGGCAUAGAAGCCCAGCCCUCAUCCACAAAUGGGAAGAACACUCUCAAUAGGCUUGCUUUUGAAGGCUUGGAACCUAUUCUAAAAUCUACUGCUGCAUAAUAAACCACCCCAAAUCCAUGGUGUAAAAUAGUAGCCAUUUGAUCACAACGCUUAGAUUGUGUGCAUCAGGAAUUCGGCCAAGGCACGAGAGGGACAGUGCUCCACCUGAUCCCAUACCUUGGCAGGAUUCAAAUGGCUGACGGCUGGAAUUGUUCAGUGACUCUUUUCUUUAUAUGUCUGGUGACUGGGCUGGGCUAACCAAAGGCUGGGCUCAGCUGCGACUAGAGCAUCUACCUAUGGCCUCUCCAUGUCACGUGGGCUUAUCACAGCAUAGGGGCUGAGAUUCAAAAGUGAAAAUCCUGAGAAAGUAACUCUGGAGAGCAGGGUUUCUGAGGAGCAGGAAGCUGCUGGCCCUUACUGAGCUGGUGAAGUGAGCGAGCAGGUCUGUGAGCCAUGGAGGGUUUAUGGAAGGACAGAGAACACACACCCUCUGUCCUCCAAAAUAUGGCCUUUGGGGUCACUCCAGAGUGUCCCUAGGUGACCAUAGCUGGCCCAGGAGAGGUUCAUAGCUAUGGCCACCAAACUGAAUGCCCACUAGAGAACGCCGUCAGAGGAGGACUGGAAACGGCGCUAGUCUUCGCCGCAGCAGGGAUUCUUGUGUCAGGUCUCAAUCAUCCGUGUGCUCAGCUCCAUUUACCAUCUCCUGUUCCUCUACUCCUUAUUCCCCAUGCCCUGCCCGCCUCUAAGUUAAGUCCUGCAGACUUCACCUGUUUACCUCUGUGCAGGGCUCUGAGUCCCGCAAGCCCUGUUUGAGGCUUAGUUCUCUCCCUGGAGCAGCCCCAUGUAUUUCUGUAGUCUGGGUGUCCGGCCAAAGCCUGUGGCUCUAACACCCUGCACCUGGCCCUGG
Molecule: long non-coding RNA, 2049 nt
Organism: Papio anubis (olive baboon)
Lineage: Eukaryota; Metazoa; Chordata; Mammalia; Primates; Cercopithecidae
Source: Ensembl